AUCUUGUUGGUCAAAUGGUAAGACAAUGCUCUGCAACAGCAUGAAUACAGGUUCGAUCCCUGUACAAGAAC
This 71-nucleotide transfer RNA is filed under the name Coprococcus eutactus ATCC 27759. Its description in RNAcentral is "tRNA-Cys". It matches the Rfam family "tRNA". From Rfam's summary of the family: Transfer RNA (tRNA) molecules are approximately 80 nucleotides in length. The record is from RNAcentral. Lineage: Bacteria; Bacillati; Bacillota; Clostridia; Lachnospirales; Lachnospiraceae.